CGCGUGAGAAUCUAGCUUCAGGUUGGGGACAACCACUGGAAACGGUGGCUAAUACCGAAUAAGCCUUAAGGGGUGAAAGAUUAAUUGCCUGGAGAUGAGCUCGCGUCUGAUUAGCUAGUUGGUAGGGUAAAGGCCUACCAAGGCGUCGAUCAGUAGCUGGUCUGAGAGGACGAUCAGCCACACUGGGACUGAGACACGGCCCAGACUCCUACGGGAGGCAGCAGUGGGGAAUAUUGCACAAUGGGCGAAAGCCUGAUGCAGCCAUGCCGCGUGUGUGAAGAAGGCCUCGGUUGUAAGCAC
Molecule: ribosomal RNA, 300 nt
Filed under: uncultured Xenococcaceae cyanobacterium
Lineage: Bacteria; Bacillati; Cyanobacteriota; Cyanophyceae; Pleurocapsales; Xenococcaceae
Description: bacterial SSU rRNA
Rfam family: Bacterial small subunit ribosomal RNA
Source: RNAcentral